CAACCCUCAAGCUCUGCUUGGUAUUGGGUGUUACCUUGCCUGCCUUGCCUGGUACACCUUAAAAUCAGUGGCAGUACUAUUCAACUUCAAGCAUCAUAAUACUUCUUGCUUUGGAGAUUGGAUGUUUGCUUGCCAACAACCCCUAGUUAUGAAA
This 154-nucleotide unclassified non-coding RNA is filed under the name uncultured Leotiomycetes. Its description in RNAcentral is "sequence contains ITS2". Lineage: Eukaryota; Fungi; Ascomycota; Leotiomycetes. The record is from RNAcentral.